GACGAACGCUGGCGGCGUGCCUAAUACAUGCAAGUUGAGCGCUGAAGGUUGGUACUUGUACCAACUGGAUGAGCAGCGAACGGGUGGGUAACGCGUGGGGAAUCUGCCUUUGAGCGGGGGACAACAUUUGGAAACGAAUGCUAAUACCGCAUAAAAACUUUAAACACAAGUUUUAAGUUUGAAAGAUGCAAUUGCAUCACUCAAAGAUGAUCCCGCGUUGUAUUAGCUAGUUGGUGAGGUAAAGGCUCACCAAGGCGAUGAUACAUAGCCGACCUGAGAGGGUGAUCGGCCACAUUGGGACUGAGACACGGCCCAAACUCCUACGGGAGGCAGCAGUAGGGAAUCUUCGGCAAUGGACGAAAGUCUGACCGAGCAACGCCGCGUGAGUGAAGAAGGUUUUCGGAUCGUAAAACUCUGCUGGUAGAGAAGAACGUUGGUGAGAGUGGAAAGCUCAUCAAGUGACGGUAACUACCCAGAAAGGGACGGCUAACUACGUG
Molecule: ribosomal RNA, 497 nt
Filed under: uncultured bacterium
Lineage: Bacteria
Description: partial 16S ribosomal RNA
Rfam family: Bacterial small subunit ribosomal RNA
Source: RNAcentral